Molecule: long non-coding RNA, 792 nt
Organism: Sciurus carolinensis (gray squirrel)
Lineage: Eukaryota; Metazoa; Chordata; Mammalia; Rodentia; Sciuridae
Exons: 4
Source: RefSeq, a predicted model, not a curated record
UUUUUUGCUAUGGUUGACUAAAUAUGGUCAGGGAAGAGAGAGGCACAAGGGAGCCUGUUUGCCUGGGAGUGCAUGUUUCAAAUGCUUAGCUGCCUAUAAAGCUGUAACAGUUUAGCCUGUGGUCACUGAGGGAAGAAUAUAAGUUAAGACUCUGUAGUGACCAUGUGGAAGUCCUGACCUCGCUUGCAGACUUGACCUCUGGAUAUGAUAAGGUGACGUUCUGUGUUCACUGAUACAAUCCCCUACUUCAUCCGGCUCAUAAAAAGAAGUGCUGAAUCAGCAAAUAGAGUGAAGGAACAAUCAAGAUGAGAUGGCUGCUGCUGAUGUGACUCUCUAGGUCAUUACCUCUCUUCCUACUGCGAAUGCUGCAUGACACUAAGCUCACAGAAUCUAGAAGCAAAUUACAAAAAAAAAAGAAGAAGGAGAAGAAGUUCUCUGAGGACUAUGAAGAAGAAAUUAGGCUCAUCUUACCAACUUUUGAAAUAUACUAUAAAAUUCUACUGAUUUUAUCAAUGUCUUGCAAAAAAAAAGAAUGAAACCAGAAAAAAGUUCAACACUUAACUGGUCAAAAUGUUUAGAAAUGUUUAUGUCCAUCAAGAACAAGGAAACACAAGUGGCAUUAAUGGCAUGAUCAGCUUCCAGAUAUGAAGAAGAAUGAAAUCAUGUCAUUUGUAGGAAAAUGGAUGGAAUAUUAUGUUAAACAAAGUAAGUUACGCUCAGAAAGUAAACACAGUGCAAACAUACCACCAGAUGCAUUGCUAAUGGCUGAUCCUGCAGAUGCCACCUUGGAAA